RNAcentral lists this ribosomal RNA (233 nucleotides) under uncultured bacterium. Its description in RNAcentral is "partial 16S ribosomal RNA". It matches the Rfam family "Bacterial small subunit ribosomal RNA", at positions 97 to 334 of the family's 1533-position model. The record is from RNAcentral.
GGCGGACGGGUGAGUAACGCGUGGGAAUCUGCCUACUAGCGGGGAUAGCCCGGAGAAAUCCGGAUUAAUACCGCAUACGCCCUACGGGGGAAAGCUGGGGAUCUUCGGACCUAGCACUAGUAGAUGAGCCCGCGUUGGAUUAGCUUGUUGUGGGGUAAUGGACCUACCAAGGCAACGAUCCAUAGCUGUUCUGAGAGGAAGAUCAGCCACACUGGGACUGAGACACGGCCCAG